AUACGUAGGGAGCGAGCGUUGUCCGGAAUGAUUGGGCGUAAAGGGCGCGUAGGCGGCGCGGUAAGUCUGGAGUGAAAGUCCUGCUUUCAAGGUGGGAAUUGCUUUGGAUACUGCCGCGCUUGAGUGCAGGAGAGGUUAUCGGAAUUCCCGGUGUAGCGGUGAAAUGCGUAGAGAUCGGGAGGAACACCAGUGGCGAAGGCGGGUAACUGGACUGCAACUGACGCUGAGGCGCGAAAGUGUGGGGAGCAAACAGGAUUAGAUACCCUGGUAGUCCACACUGUAAACGAUGAAUGCUAGGUGUAAGAGGUAUCGACCCCUUUUGUGCCGGAGUCAACACAAUAAGCAUUCCGCCUGGGGAGUACGGCCGCAAGGUUGAAACUCAAAUGAAUUGGCGGGG
This 397-nucleotide ribosomal RNA is filed under the name uncultured bacterium. Its description in RNAcentral is "partial 16S ribosomal RNA". It matches the Rfam family "Bacterial small subunit ribosomal RNA", at positions 523 to 918 of the family's 1533-position model. The record is from RNAcentral.